Molecule: transfer RNA, 82 nt
Filed under: Crocinitomicaceae bacterium
Lineage: Bacteria; Pseudomonadati; Bacteroidota; Flavobacteriia; Flavobacteriales; Crocinitomicaceae
Description: tRNA-Leu
Rfam family: tRNA
About the family: Transfer RNA (tRNA) molecules are approximately 80 nucleotides in length. Their secondary structure includes four short double-helical elements and three loops (D, anti-codon, and T loops).
Source: RNAcentral
GCGGGUGUGGUGAAAUUGGUAGACACGCUAGAUUUAGGAUCUAGUGCCGCGAGGUGUGUGGGUUCGACUCCCUCCACCCGCA